This 497-nucleotide ribosomal RNA is filed under the name uncultured bacterium. RNAcentral's name for it is "partial 16S ribosomal RNA". It matches the Rfam family "Bacterial small subunit ribosomal RNA", at positions 28 to 507 of the family's 1533-position model. The record is from RNAcentral.
GAUGAACGCUGGCGGCGUGCCUAAUACAUGCAAGUCGAGCGAACGGACGAGAAGCUUGCUUCUCUGAUGUUAGCGGCGGACGGGUGAGUAACACGUGGAUAACCUACCUAUAAGACUGGGAUAACUUCGGGAAACCGGAGCUAAUACCGGAUAAUAUUUUGAACCGCAUGGUUCAAAAGUGAAAGACGGUCUUGCUGUCACUUAUAGAUGGAUCCGCUCUGCUUUAGCUAGUUGGUAAGGUAACGGCUUACCAAGGCAACGAUGCAUAGCCGACCUGAGAGGGGGAUCGGCCAACCCGGAACCAGGAACCGGCCCAAGCCCCCAGGGGGGGCACGGAUGGGGAACUUUGCCAAAAGGGGCAAAUCCGUGCGGGAGAACCCCCGGGUGGGAAAAAAGGUUUUGGGGUCCGAAAACCUCUUUAUUAAGGAAGAACAUAUGUGUAAGUAACUGUGCACAUCUUGACGGUACCUAAUCAGAAAGCCACGGCUAACUACGUG